Molecule: long non-coding RNA, 974 nt
Organism: Gopherus evgoodei (Goodes thornscrub tortoise)
Lineage: Eukaryota; Metazoa; Chordata; Testudines; Testudinidae
Exons: 3
Source: RefSeq, a predicted model, not a curated record
UAGUGAGCAUGCUCCUAUGUUUGCGCCUGCUCAGUGAGCGCAGCCAAAGGGCUGCGCUAGUGGGAGCGGGAGGAGACAAGCAAAGGGCCAAGCCGCCCCAAGGGGAAUCCUGCAGAGAGGGUCAUGUGACUGCACUGGCGUAGGGACCGCGGCGCGGGAGGUGGCAGGAGGGGCUCGUGGUCGCGUCGUGGGCCCGCCUCAGGAGCAGCGCGCCCUAUUGUAGUGCUCGUGCUGUAGGGGCGCCUGCCCAGGGGCACAGGGUGGGUGCUGAGCAGUGGGCCCCAGCACUCACUUCCAGCGGGAUCCGGAGGCAGGUGCUGCUGGGUCUGGCUUGGCAGGGAUGCUGCAAAGGGCCCUGGGGGCUGUCCCUGAAUUGCCUGCCCUAACCCAUUGUUCGGGAGGUGGUUUUCAGUGCGCAGCCUGCCACCCUUUGUAACACUUAGUAACCCUGACACACACAGACAAUGAAAAGACCCUAAUGCACGAUGCAAUUUAUGGACAGCCCUUCUCAUAGUGACAUCGGCCUGUGUUGGGCCACGAUGGUGGAAAAGACAAACUUCUCUCACCCACGUUGUAUGUCUGAUAGCGUGGGGCUACCAGAGCUACAACACCGCUGCAAACAACAUAAUAAUAGGAAGAUACAACAGCUGAUAGUUUGCAAUGUGGAAUCUCAGAGAAUUUGAUAUUUCAGGGCAAAAUCUGGUCCAGGACUAAAUACAGAAAGUUCCAGAUGUCAGGUCAGAGUGGCAGUUGUUUCCUUCAGUCAUCAAAUGAAAACCUUGGGAAUUAACACAGACUACUUGGUGUAUUUUUAAAAUGCAAUGAACGUGAAAGACUGCCUUUGUAUUGGUUCUUUCAUGCAAAUCACAUGUAAAUGCUUUUUAAUAAAAAUCAUCACUUAAUUCUAUUCUAAUGCAGAAAUAAGCUUUUCAUGGUAAUACAUGUUUUUGAGAAGUGCCAAACAUUACUCAUUG